This 156-nucleotide non-coding RNA is filed under the name human gut metagenome. RNAcentral also lists the same sequence under 1 other name. The record is from RNAcentral.
GUGCCCCGCUGGAGCGGCGGGGAUAAUAGGGAAUCGGGUGAAAAUCCCGAACGAUCCGGUCACUGUGAACGGGGAGUCUUCCGCAGAUAGCCAUUGUCCAUAGGACGAGAAGGCGCGGCAGGCGGCGAUCCGCAAGUCAGGAAACCUGCUCAGGGG